AAUUAUAUUAUUUAAAUUUUUUAGAAUCAGUAAAUUGUUUGUUUUUUUUAUAUUUUACUUAUUAGGUGAAAUUUUAAGUUUUUAAAAAAAAUUUUUAAUAAUUCUGAGAAAUUCUUUUAUUAAACUAGGAUUAGAUACCCUAUUAUAUUGAACAUUAAACUAUAAUUCUUGAUUAUUGUAAGUUAUGUUCUUUAAAUUUAAAGAAUUUGGCGGUAUUUUAGUCUAUUCAGAGGAACCUGUCCUGUAAUCGAUAGUCCACGAUAAAUUUAACUUAUUCUUAGUUUACAUAUCGUCGUGUUUUGAAUAUUUUUUUAGAAUUAAAUAUUCAUAAUUCUUUAAGGAAAAAGGUCAGAUCAAGGUGUAGCUUAUGGGUAAGCAGAGAUGGGUUACAAUUUUUUUAUUAAUGGAUUAUUUUCUUAAAUUAAAUAUGAAUUUGGAUUUGAUAGUAAAUUUAAUUAUUAAUUAAUUUGACUUUAGCUCUAAAAUAUGCACAUAUCGCCCGUCGCUUUCACUUUAAAGUGAAAUAAGUCGUAACAUAGUAGGCUUACUGGAAGGUGAGCCUAGAAAGGCAAAUCAGAGCUUGAUAGAAGCAUUUUAUUUACAUUAAAAAGUUAGUUGUGAGAUUUUACUUGAUUUGAAUUUAUUUUUUUAUUAAAAAUUUUUAUAUUAUUUUGUUUAAAAUAAGAAUAUUUUUAUUUAUUAUUAGUUUAGAAUAAUUUUUUAUUAUUAUAGUUUACUAGUACUGUGAAGGAAUAUUUUUUAUAGUUAAAAGAAGAAAUUUUUU
Molecule: ribosomal RNA, 784 nt
Filed under: Rosalia coelestis
Lineage: Eukaryota; Metazoa; Arthropoda; Insecta; Coleoptera; Cerambycidae
Description: partial 12S ribosomal RNA
Source: RNAcentral